AGAGUUUGAUCAUGGCUCAGGACGAACGCUGGCGGCGUGCCUAACACAUGCAAGUCGAACGGAGUCGGCCCCGCCAAGGGACUGACUUAGUGGCGAACGGGUGAGUAACGCGUGAGCAACCUGCCUUUCAGUGGGGGACGAACAGUUGGAAACGACUGCUAAUACCGCAUAAUGCACUUUGACCGCAUGAUCGAGAUGCCAAAGAUUUAUUGCUGAAAGAUGGGCUCGCGUCUGAUUAGAUAGUUGGUGAGGUAACGGCCCACCAAGUCGACGGUCAGUAGCCGGACUGAGAGGUUGAACGGCCACAUUGGGACUGAGAUACGGCCCAGACUCCUACGGGAGGCAGCA
This 348-nucleotide ribosomal RNA is filed under the name uncultured bacterium. RNAcentral describes it as "bacterial SSU rRNA". It matches the Rfam family "Bacterial small subunit ribosomal RNA", at positions 8 to 353 of the family's 1533-position model. The record is from RNAcentral.